ACGGCUCAGUAACACGUGGACAACCUACCCUUAGGUCAGGUAUAACCCCGGGAAACUGGGAAUAAUACCGGAUAUUGGGCGGAGGCUGGAAUGCACCGCCCAAGAAAGCUCCGGCGCCUAAGGAUGGGUCUGCGGCCUAUCAGGGUAGUAGUGGGUGUAACGUACCUACUAGCCUACGACGGGUACGGGUUGUGAGAGCAAGAGCCCGGAGAUGGAUUCUGAGACACGAAUCCAGGCCCUACGGGGUGCAGCAGGCGCGAAAACUUUACAAUGCCGGCAACGGCGAUAAGGGGACCUCGAGUGCCAGGAUACAAUCCUGGCUGUCGUAAUGCCUAAAAAGCAUUGCAUAGCAAGGGCCGGGCAAGACCGGUGCCAGCCGCCGCGGUAACACCGGCGGCUCGAGUGGUAACCGUUAUUAUUGGGUCUAAAGGGUCUGUAGCCGGCUGGAUAAGUCUCUUGGGAAAUCCGGCAGCUCAACUGUCGGGCUUUCAGGAGAUACUGUCCGGCUCGAGACCGGGAGAGGUGAGAGGUACUUCAGGGGUAGGGGUGAAAUCUUGUAAUCCUUGAAGGACCACCAGUGGCGAAGGCGUCUCACCAGAACGGAUCUGACGGCAAGGGACGAAAGCUAGGGGCACGAACCGGAUUAGAUACCCGGGUAGUCCUAGCCGUAAACGAUACUCGCUAGGUGUCGGCCACGGUGCGACCGUGGUCGGUGCCGUAGGGAAGCCGUGAAGCGAGCCACCUGGGAAGUACGGCCGCAAGGCUGAAACUUAAAGGAAUUGGCGGGGGAGCAC
This 794-nucleotide ribosomal RNA is filed under the name uncultured archaeon. RNAcentral's name for it is "bacterial SSU rRNA". It matches the Rfam family "Archaeal small subunit ribosomal RNA", at positions 85 to 879 of the family's 1478-position model. The record is from RNAcentral.